UGUAUUCAAGCUGUAGGCAUUCGGCCCUGGCCCUUCAUCGACUGAAUUUGAAAGAUUUAAAAGAUUGCAAAGAGAAAGACGUUUAUCUGAUGAUUUACUUACCUUUUGAGAAAAGAAACAUUAUAAUAAUCUGAACAACUUAAGAAAAUAUACUUACCUUUUGAGUCAUGUGAUCUGCCGGUGAUUGAAUACUUGGGAGCGCCAUCAUCUUGAUCACGUGGUACAUAAGAAGCAGGACCAGGACUGGUGCGACCUACAGGGUGUGAUCAUGUUAUAAAAAUCAUGGAAGGUUUUGAUGAAACAGAACAGUGUAAUAUUAUGUUCUUGGAGGCUACUCACUAUCUGGUAUCUCAAACCGUCUCCCCAUGGAAAACGCCGGACCUUCAGAUUUUCGUUUCUCGU
Molecule: long non-coding RNA, 402 nt
Organism: Magallana angulata
Lineage: Eukaryota; Metazoa; Mollusca; Bivalvia; Ostreida; Ostreidae
Exons: 3
Source: RefSeq, a predicted model, not a curated record